UACAGAGGGUGCGAGCGUUAAUCGGAUUUACUGGGCGUAAAGCGUGCGUAGGCGGCUGAUUAAGCCGGAUGUGAAAUCCCUGAGCUUAACUUAGGAAUUGCAUUCGAUACUGGUCAACUAGAGUAUGGGAGAGGAUGGUAGAAUUCCAGGUGUAGCGGUGAAAUGCGUAGAGAUCUGGAGGAAUACCGAUGGCGAAGGCAGCCAUCUGGCCUAAUACUGACGCUGAGGUACGAAAGCAUGGGGAGCAAACAGGAUUAGAUACCCUGGUAGUCCAUGCCGUAAACGAUGUCUACUAGCCGUUGGGGCCUUUGAGGCUUUAGUGGCGCAGCUAACGCGAUAAGUAGACCGCCUGGGGAGUACGGCCGCAAGGUUAAA
This 375-nucleotide ribosomal RNA is filed under the name uncultured bacterium. RNAcentral's name for it is "bacterial SSU rRNA". It matches the Rfam family "Bacterial small subunit ribosomal RNA", at positions 524 to 898 of the family's 1533-position model. The record is from RNAcentral.